AGCGAACGCUGGCGGCAGGCCUAACACAUGCAAGUCGAACGAACUCUUCGGAGUUAGUGGCGGACGGGUGAGUAACACGUGGGAACGUGCCCUUUGGUACGGAAUAACUCAGGGAAACUUGAGCUAAUACCGUAUGUGCCCUUCGGGGGAAAGAUUUAUCGCCAUUGGAGCGGCCCGCGUCUGAUUAGCUAGUUGGUGAGGUAAAGGCUCACCAAGGCUACGAUCAGUAGCUGGUCUGAGAGGAUGAUCAGCCACAUUGGGACUGAGACACGGCCCAAACUCCUACGGGAGGCAGCAGUGGGGAAUCAUGCGCAAUGGGCGAAAGCCUGACGCAGCCAUGCCGCGUGAAUGAUGAAGGUCUUAGGAUUGUAAAAUUCUUUCACCGGGGACGAUAAUGACGGUACCCGGAGAAGAAGCCCCGGCUAACUUCGUG
RNAcentral lists this ribosomal RNA (433 nucleotides) under uncultured bacterium. RNAcentral's name for it is "partial 16S ribosomal RNA". It matches the Rfam family "Bacterial small subunit ribosomal RNA", at positions 29 to 507 of the family's 1533-position model. The record is from RNAcentral.